GACGAACGCUGGCGGCGUGCUUAACACAUGCAAGUCGAACGGAAAGGCCCUGCUUUUGUGGGGUGCUCGAGUGGCGAACGGGUGAGUAACACGUGAGUAACCUGCCCUUGACUUUGGGAUAACUUCAGGAAACUGGGGCUAAUACCGGAUAGGAGCUCCUGCUGCAUGGUGGGGGUUGGAAAGUUUCGGCGGUUGGGGAUGGACUCGCGGCUUAUCAGCUUGUUGGUGGGGUAGUGGCUUACCAAGGCUUUGACGGGUAGCCGGCCUGAGAGGGUGACCGGCCUCAUUGGGACUGAGGUACGGCCCAGCCUACUACGGGUGGCAGCAGUGGGGAAUAUUACACAACGGGCGGAAGGACGAUGCAGCAACGCCGCGUGCGGGAUGACGGCCUGCGGGUUGUAAACCGCUUUCGCCUGUGACGAAGCGUGAGUGACGGUAAUGGGUAAAGAAGCACCGGCUAACUACGUG
This 468-nucleotide ribosomal RNA is filed under the name uncultured bacterium. RNAcentral describes it as "partial 16S ribosomal RNA". It matches the Rfam family "Bacterial small subunit ribosomal RNA", at positions 28 to 507 of the family's 1533-position model. The record is from RNAcentral.